AUGGACUUAAGGCUCAGAUGGUGUUUCCUUGUCAUUAUCUUAAAAGGUGCCCAGUGUGAGGUACAGCUGGUGGAGUCUGGGGGAGGCUUAGUGCAGCCUGGAAAAUCUCCAAAACUCUCCUGUGCAGCCUCUGGAUUCACCUUGAGUAGCUAUUACAGGGCCUGGGUCCGCCAGGCUCCAGGAAAGGGACUGGAGUGGGUGGCAUACAUUAGUGAUGAUAGUAGUUACAUCAAAUAUGCCGAUGCUGUGAAGGGCCGAUUCACCAUCUCCAGGGAGAAUGCCAAGAACACCUUGUAA
Non-coding RNA from Peromyscus californicus insignis, 297 nucleotides. The record is from the annotation of a RefSeq genome assembly. Lineage: Eukaryota; Metazoa; Chordata; Mammalia; Rodentia; Cricetidae.